Molecule: non-coding RNA, 72 nt
Organism: Podarcis lilfordi (Lilford's wall lizard)
Lineage: Eukaryota; Metazoa; Chordata; Lepidosauria; Squamata; Lacertidae
Source: the annotation of a GenBank genome assembly
UCUGGUUCGGUUGGUAGAGCGUGAGACUCGUAGUCUCAGGAUCAUGGAUUCAAGCCCCAAGUUGGGGCAAAA